UGAGACAGUUUGAUGAAUAGAGGGUUUUUAUUGGAAUGGACAGAGAAUAGUAAUUGCAGUCGAUGCGAAGCAAGCGGUGGCCGCUGCGGAUAUUACGAUAAACAGUUCUUAUGCCUUUGCAGUUUGCCCCAGUGGACCCAAUGGCGAAAUCUGCACAGGACUUGUACAUCUUAGGAUCAAGAAGAGGGGUUUGAAUGAUCAAAGCAUCCAAUUGUCGAGGAUGCCCGAUUAACACAGACAUGUUGAAUGAGCACAAGGUCUGCUGCUGCUUAGAUGAGAGGUUCUCCUCUGGAUGAACAAAUCAUUUAAAAUAGAAUAAUAUACUUUGGGAUUCUUUCUUUUGUCUUCAGUGUCUAAAAAAUCUGGAAUCCGGUAGGAUCGGUCCCAGCAGAUUCGGUGGAAGAGAAAUCCGGUAAUACUGUAACACCAAUGUCAAGGCUAUUUAGUCGAUCAGUUUAUGAAUCUCGUCAUGCUUUUGGGCAGAUACUGGCCACUGAAGUGCCUGUAGAUUGUGAUGUUGUGAACUUGUGAUAGCUGUACUGGAUUCCGGUGUGGUUGCGGCUCUUGGGUAUGCAGAGAAGGCAGGGGUUCCCUUCCAACAAGGGCUGAUAAGGUCACACUACGUCGGGAGAAACAUUCAUUGAGCCGUCAUGGAAGAUUAGGGACAUGGAGAUUGCCGACUUAUACGUGUGUCCCAGCAUUCUUCUUUUGAUUCCGACAACGGUGAAGACUGGGAAUGGGAGGAUGACGAGGGGUUUCGCCUGUAGAGAAGAAAAGCAGUGGGUUAUUACAUGGGUAUUUUAGGUACUUCACAUUUAGUAAAUGUAUUUUGGUAUUUAAAAUAAAAUAUAGUAGCUGACAUUAGUAUAAAA
Long non-coding RNA from Macadamia integrifolia, 872 nucleotides. RefSeq lists it as uncharacterized. Lineage: Eukaryota; Viridiplantae; Streptophyta; Magnoliopsida; Proteales; Proteaceae. The record is from RefSeq and is a predicted model, not a curated record. The transcript has 2 exons.